UACGUAGGGUGCGAGCGUUGUCCGGAAUUAUUGGGCGUAAAGAGCUUGUAGGCGGUUUGUCGCGUCUGCCGUGAAAGUCCGGGGCUCAACUCCGGAUCUGCGGUGGGUACGGGCAGACUAGAGUGAUGUAGGGGAGACUGGAAUUCCUGGUGUAGCGGUGGAAUGCGCAGAUAUCAGGAGGAACACCAAUGGCGAAGGCAGAUCUCUGGGCCGUAACUGACGCUGAGGAGCGAAAGCAUGGGGAGCGAACAGG
RNAcentral lists this ribosomal RNA (253 nucleotides) under uncultured bacterium. Its description in RNAcentral is "partial 16S ribosomal RNA". It matches the Rfam family "Bacterial small subunit ribosomal RNA", at positions 524 to 776 of the family's 1533-position model. The record is from RNAcentral.